UGCCUCCUGAAUGUGAGCCACUAAGCUC
This 28-nucleotide non-coding RNA is filed under the name Mus musculus (house mouse). Lineage: Eukaryota; Metazoa; Chordata; Mammalia; Rodentia; Muridae. The record is from RNAcentral.